This 374-nucleotide ribosomal RNA is filed under the name uncultured prokaryote. RNAcentral describes it as "bacterial SSU rRNA". It matches the Rfam family "Bacterial small subunit ribosomal RNA", at positions 524 to 896 of the family's 1533-position model. The record is from RNAcentral.
UACAGAGAGUGCAAGCGUUAAUCGGAAUUACUGGGCGUAAAGGGUGUGUAGGCUGUUAAAUAAGUUAGGUGUGAAAUCCCUGGGCUUAACCUAGGAAUUGCAGUUAAUACUGUUUAUCUAGAGGAUUGUAGGGGGAAGUGGAAUUUCCGGUGUAGCGGUGAAAUGCGUAGAUAUCGGAAGGAACACCAGUGGCGAAGGCGGCUUCCUGGACAAAUACUGACACUGAAACACGAAAGCGUGGGGAGCAAACAGGAUUAGAUACCCUGGUAGUCCACGCUGUAAACGAUGAAAACUUGCUGUUGGGAAUUUAUAUAUGUUUAGUGGCGUAGCUAACGCGUUAAGUUUUCCGCCUGGGGAGUACGAUCGCAAGGUUA